This 94-nucleotide signal recognition particle RNA is filed under the name Liberibacter crescens BT-1. RNAcentral describes it as "Bacterial small signal recognition particle RNA". It matches the Rfam family "Bacterial small signal recognition particle RNA". Rfam says of the family: The signal recognition particle (SRP) is a universally conserved ribonucleoprotein involved in the co-translational targeting of proteins to membranes. Lineage: Bacteria; Pseudomonadati; Pseudomonadota; Alphaproteobacteria; Hyphomicrobiales; Rhizobiaceae. The record is from Rfam by way of RNAcentral.
GUUGGGAUGUGGACGUGUUGAUCGCUAACCGGGUCAGGUCUGGAAAGAAGCAGCUCUAACGUUCGUAGCGGGUCACAGUUUCAAUCUCUCACUU